Molecule: ribosomal RNA, 253 nt
Filed under: uncultured bacterium
Lineage: Bacteria
Description: partial 16S ribosomal RNA
Rfam family: Bacterial small subunit ribosomal RNA
Source: RNAcentral
UACGUAGGGGGCAAGCGUUGUCCGGAUUUAUUGGGCGUAAAGAGCGUGUAGGCGGCCAGCCAGGUCCGUUGUGAAAACUCGAGGCUCAACCUCGAGACGCCGAUGGAAACCGUCUGGCUAGAGUCCGGAAGAGGAGAGUGGAAUUCCUGGUGUAGCGGUGAAAUGCGCAGAUAUCAGGAAGAACACCCGUGGCUAAGGCGGCUCUCUAGUACGGUACUGACGCUGAGACGCGAAAGCGUGGGGAGCGAACAGG